AUAAAAGUCAGCUAAACAGGCUAACAGCUCGCAAUCAAAGCUGCACCGUUGUACGCACCACAACGCAACCCCAUCUCCGCCCAAGCCCAACGAUCAGUCGAAAAAGAACACUCGUCAAGAUGAAGCGAAGAAGCAGUACUAAGCGGGGGUCGCACUCCGCGGACUACAACUCAUUUCACAUGAACUUAAUUUAAAAUCAGAAGCUCCACAAUUAAAAAUGUAAUUUUGUAUACCUAAA
Drosophila miranda is the source of this 238-nucleotide long non-coding RNA. RefSeq lists it as uncharacterized. The record is from RefSeq and is a predicted model, not a curated record. NCBI's taxonomy places the organism in Eukaryota, Metazoa, Arthropoda, Insecta, Diptera, Drosophilidae. The transcript is spliced from 2 exons.